GGAAGGAGCCGCGACUACUUGCAGGAAGGUGAAGCGUCUGUGCUGCUGAGGUGGGGGGAGAAGAGUACCAAUGUAUGAAGCCUUAAAGAAACGGCAGUUUGGAGAAAGGCACCGACUCGGGAGCUGUGUUUUUCUCCAGAGUUCCCUCCAGCCCUCCCCGGCUAAGGCUCGGCCCCAACAGUCCCGCGCCUCACCCAAGUGCCCCGAGUCCUGCUUCCGCCUCCGCUGCAGCCUCUCCCGCAGAGAAUCCAGCUGCUUUUUAUGGGCCUGGAUAGAGCUCCACGUGUCCGACAUUUCGGUCUCGCAGCCCAGACACGUCCCGAACCAAGGGCGACUGCCUUCCACCUCUCAGCCCUAGUUCCAAGAAUUAUCCAACUCUCAUGCGGACACCCGAAGCCUAACCGGAAAGAGAUCCCGGGAGACGCACCGGACGGAAAGUCAUUUCCGGUUUUGCUCUCCCUUUGAAGCUGAAACGAGAGCCACCUUAAGUGUUGGCGGAAUGGCGGCAACCUGCGGCACACGGAACUUACCUGACCAGGGAUUGAACCCACAUCCCUUGCAGUGGAAGGCAGAGUCUUAACCACCAGACCGCCAAGGAAGACCCUACUUAACAGCAUAACACUCCAGUUAAAGAAGCCCAGAACUGUGAAGAACAAAGAGAAGGUAGGUGAUUGGAAUGAGAUCCUUGGAAGAGAAAGAAGAGGGGCCAGUCAGGGAUGCUAAUUCCCAGAGCUCUGUAACUCCUCUGGACUCAAGGCCUCACUUUCUGGGUGCAGACCUGGAGGAUGACAAACUUUCAACUUACAGAGAAAAUGUGAAGACUUACAAAAGAAAUUAUGAAAGAAGUAAAGGAAAGAACAUUAUAACAAUUAGCUAAGCUCCCCUUGCACAGCUGGAGAAAACUGGAAGAAGAAUUUACCGAGAGUGGGCAGGGGCGAGCUCCGCGGCGCGAGCCGCACGAAUGAGAGAAACGUGCCCCUCGCGAGGCGUCGCGCGCGCCCGGGACAGGGAGCCAAUGAGAACGCUGGGAGGGCUCGAGACCCGGCCCUGAGGUCGACGGCCGCGCGCCGGCUCGAAGACGAGCGUCGCCGGGCGAGAGCGCGCGGAGCGGGGCUGGCUUGGAGUAUGCGGAGGCCGCGCUCUGCCUCUCAGAGGCCGGACGGCGCUGCGGAGCGGCGGCGACGGCAGCGGUAACUGGAACCGCGUGGAGGGUGAGGCCCUGGGACACCUUUGAACUCUGCAUCCAGAAAGCCCAAGAUGGAAGAAGAAAGGUCAGAGACAUUGACUAACCUGGAAACAGGGACCUCUUUGGAACUUUGCUUUCAUCCACAGUAGCUUUUAAAAGUAUCAUCGAGUGGAAGUGAUUUCCUCGUCUUAUUUUGCUUAUUGGGAAGAACAUGGCUUCAGGGAUUUUAUGUUUCCCUUUAGUUUUGCAUGAACUCCAUAGGAAAAGGAGCCUUUAAAGGGUUUGGGAGUAACAAGAAGAGACUGAAGACAGACAGGCUUGUGCGUGCUGUUUUCCCUCCCCUUCAAAGAAAAGGAUUUACAACGCAACCUUGUAACAGCUGCUGCCCAGCUUUAACCACCAAGAGAAAGUAAAAUAAAUAAAUAAAUUUAA
This is a long non-coding RNA of Lagenorhynchus albirostris (white-beaked dolphin), 1618 nucleotides long. RefSeq lists it as uncharacterized. The record is from RefSeq and is a predicted model, not a curated record. Lineage: Eukaryota; Metazoa; Chordata; Mammalia; Artiodactyla; Delphinidae. The transcript is spliced from 6 exons.